Molecule: long non-coding RNA, 222 nt
Filed under: Setaria italica (foxtail millet)
Lineage: Eukaryota; Viridiplantae; Streptophyta; Magnoliopsida; Poales; Poaceae
Description: long non-coding RNA (SITA_LNC005075)
Source: RNAcentral
AUAUACACUAUCACCGUCUCUUCAUGUUAUGUAAUGUUGUUUGUGCAAUGGAUAUUCAGUUCCCAGCUAUACUGAAAUUUACAAGAAAAUGAACAAUUGCAUACAUAUUAAUUUUCGCUUCUAAGAGAACUUAUAAGUUACUUCAGCUUCUCUAUUGCAGCACCCACAGAGCUUUAACAAAAACAUUGCAUUUACAACGCGAAUGAUCUCAAUGGUUCCUUU